Molecule: ribosomal RNA, 482 nt
Filed under: uncultured bacterium
Lineage: Bacteria
Description: partial 16S ribosomal RNA
Rfam family: Bacterial small subunit ribosomal RNA
Source: RNAcentral
AUUGAACGCUGGCGGCAGGCCUAACACAUGCAAGUCGAGCGGAUGAAGGGAGCUUGCUCCUGGAUUCAGCGGCGGACGGGUGAGUAAUGCCUAGGAAUCUGCCUGGUAGUGGGGGAUAACGUCCGGAAACGGGCGCUAAUACCGCAUACGUCCUGAGGGAGAAAGUGGGGGAUCUUCGGACCUCACGCUAUCAGAUGAGCCUAGGUCGGAUUAGCUAGUUGGUGGGGUAAAGGCCUACCAAGGCGACGAUCCGUAACUGGUCUGAGAGGAUGAUCAGUCACACUGGAACUGAGACACGGUCCAGACUCCGACGGGAGGCAGCAGUGGGGAAUAUUGGACAAUGGGCGAAAGCCUGAUCCAGCCAUGCCGCGUGUGUGAAGAAGGUCUUCGGAUUGGAAAGCACUUUAAGUUGGGAGGAAGGGCAGUAAGUUAAUACCUUGCUGUUUUGACGUGACCAACAGAAUAAGCACCGGCUAACUUCG